This 563-nucleotide ribosomal RNA is filed under the name uncultured Glomeromycotina. RNAcentral describes it as "SSU rRNA". It matches the Rfam family "Eukaryotic small subunit ribosomal RNA", at positions 548 to 1114 of the family's 1831-position model. Lineage: Eukaryota; Fungi; Glomeromycota. The record is from RNAcentral.
UUGGAGGGCAAGUCUGGUGCCAGCAGCCGCGGUAAUUCCAGCUCCAAUAGCGUAUAUUAAAGUUGUUGCAGUUAAAAAGCUCGUAGUUGAAUUUCGGGGUUAGUAGGUUGGUCAUGCCACUGGUAUGUACUGGUCUCACUGAUUCCUCCUUCCUGGUGAGCCGUAAUGCCAUUAAUUUGGUGUUGCGAGGAAUCUGGACUGUUACUUUGAAAAAAUUAGAGUGUUUAAAGCAAGCUAACGCUUGAAUACAUUAGCAUGGAAUAAUGAAAUAGGACGUUCGAUCCUAUUUUGUUGGUUUCUAGGAUUGACGUAAUGAUUAAUAGGGAUAGUUGGGGGCAUUAGUAUUCAAUUGUCAGAGGUGAAAUUCUUGGAUUUAUUGAAGACUAACUACUGCGAAAGCAUUUGCCAAGGAUGUUUUCAUUAAUCAAGAACGAAAGUUAGGGGAUCGAAGACGAUCAGAUACCGUCGUAGUCUUAACCAUAAACUAUGCCGACUAGGGAUCGGAUGAUGUUAUUUUUAAUGACCCAUUCGGCGCCUUACGGGAAACCAAAGUGUUUGGGUUC